GACGAACGCUGGCGGCGUGCUUAACACAUGCAAGUCGAGCGGAAAGGCCACUUCGGUGGUACUCGAGCGGCGAACGGGUGAGUAACACGUGAGUAAUCUGCCCCUGGCUUUGGGAUAGCCACCGGAAACGGUGAUUAAUACCGGAUACGACCACUUCUCGCAUGGGAUGAUGGUGGAAAGUUGUUUCGGCCAGGGAUGUGCUCGCGGCCUAUCAGCUUGAUGGUGAUUGAAUGGUUCACCAUGGCUUCGCCGGGUAGCCGGCCUGAGAGGGUGACCGGUCACACUGGGACUGAGACACGGCCCAGACUCCUACGGGAGGCAGCAGUGGGGAAUAUUGGACAAUGGGCGGAAGCCUGAUCCAGCAACGCCGCGUGAGGGAUGACGGCCUUCGGGUUGUAAACCUCUUUCAGCAGGGACGAAGCGCAAGUGACGGUACCUGCAGAAGAAGCACCGGCCAACUACGUGCCAGCAGCCGCAGUAA
This 481-nucleotide ribosomal RNA is filed under the name uncultured bacterium. RNAcentral's name for it is "partial 16S ribosomal RNA". It matches the Rfam family "Bacterial small subunit ribosomal RNA", at positions 28 to 523 of the family's 1533-position model. The record is from RNAcentral.